CCUACGGGAGGCAGCAGUGGGGAAUAUUGGGCAAUGGGCGCAAGCCUGACCCAGCAACGCCGCGUGAAGGAAGAAGGCUUUCGGGUUGUAAACUUCUUUUAAGAGGGAAGAGCAGAAGACGGUACCUCUUGAAUAAGCCACGGCUAACUACGUGCCAGCAGCCGGGGUAAUCCGUAGGUGGCAAGCGUUAUCCGGAUUCAUUGGGUUUAAAGGGUGCGCAGGCGGGCGUUUAAGCCGGCGGUGAAAUCGCGGGGCUCAACCCCGCCGAGCCGUCGGAACUGGGGGCCUUGAGUGCGGCGGAGGCAUGCGGAAUGCGCGGUGUAGCGGUGAAAUGCAUAGAUAUCGCGCAGAACCCCGAUUGCGAAGGCAGCGUGCCGUGCCGCCACUGACGCUGAGGCACGAAAGCGCGGGGAUCGAACAGGAUUAGAUACCCCAGUAGUC
RNAcentral lists this ribosomal RNA (441 nucleotides) under uncultured bacterium. Its description in RNAcentral is "partial 16S ribosomal RNA". It matches the Rfam family "Bacterial small subunit ribosomal RNA", at positions 338 to 795 of the family's 1533-position model. The record is from RNAcentral.